AGUGAACGCUGGCGGUAGGCCUAACACAUGCAAGUCGAACGGCAGCACAGUAAGAGCUUGCUCUUACGGGUGGCGAGUGGCGGACGGGUGAGGAAUACAUCGGAAUCUACUUUUUCGUGGGGGAUAACGUAGGGAAACUUACGCUAAUACCGCAUACGACCUACGGGUGAAAGCAGGGGAUCUUCGGACCUUGCGCGAUUGAUUGAGCCGAUGUCGGAUUAGCUAGUUGGCGGGGUAAAGGCCCACCAAGGCGACGAUCCGUAGCUGGUCUGAGAGGAUGAUCAGCCACACUGGAACUGAGGCACGGUCCAGACUCCUACGGGAGGCAGCAGGGGGGAAUAUUGGACAAUGGGCGCAAGCCUGAUCCAGCCAUACCGCGUGGGUGAAGAAGGCCUUCGGGUUGUAAAGCCCUUUUGUUGGGAAAGAAAAGCAGCAGGUUAAUACCCCGCUGUUCUGACGGUACCCAAAGAAUAAGCACCGGCUAACUUCGUG
Molecule: ribosomal RNA, 492 nt
Filed under: uncultured bacterium
Lineage: Bacteria
Description: partial 16S ribosomal RNA
Rfam family: Bacterial small subunit ribosomal RNA
Source: RNAcentral